Pseudophryne corroboree (corroboree frog) is the source of this 120-nucleotide small nuclear RNA. RefSeq annotates it as U5 spliceosomal RNA. The transcript has a single exon. NCBI's taxonomy places the organism in Eukaryota, Metazoa, Chordata, Amphibia, Anura, Myobatrachidae. The record is from RefSeq and is a predicted model, not a curated record.
AUACUCUGGUUUCUCUUCAGAUCGAAUAAAGCUUUCGCUUUUUACUACAGAUUUCCGUUGAGAGAAACAACCAUGAGUUCAUAUAAAUAUGCUUUUCAGCAAUAAAAUAUAUAUAUGAUA